UGGUGGGUAGUUUGACUGGGGCGGUCUCCUCCUAAAGAGUAACGGAGGAGCACGAAGGUUGGCUAAUCCUGGUCGGACAUCAGGAGGUUAGUGCAAUGGCAUAAGCCAGCUUGACUGCGAGCGUGACGGCGCGAGCAGGUGCGAAAGCAGGUCAUAGUGAUCCGGUGGUUCUGAAUGGAAGGGCCAUCGCUCAACGGAUAAAAGGUACUCCGGGGAUAACAGGCUGAUACCGCCCAAGAGUUCAUAUCGACGGCGGUGUUUGGCACCUCGAUGUCGGCUCAUCACAUCCUGGGGCUGAAGUAGGUCCCAAGGGUAUGGCUGUUCGCCAUUUAAAGUGGUACGCGAGCUGGGUUUAGAACGUCGUGAGACAGUUCGGUCCCUAUCUGCCGUGGGCGCUGGAGAACUGAGGGGGGCUGCUCCUAGUACGAGAGGACCGGAGUGGACGCAUCACUGGUGUUCGGGUUGUCAUGCCAAUGGCACUGCCCGGUAGCUAAAUGCGGAAGAGAUAAGUGCUGAAAGCAUCUAAGCACGAAACUUGCCCCGAGAUGAGUUCUCCCUGAGACUUUAGGUCUCCUGAAGGAACGUUGAAGACGACGACGUUGAUAGGCCGGGUGUGUAAGCGCAGCGAUGCGUUGAGCUAACCGGUACUAAUGAACCGUGA
Molecule: ribosomal RNA, 661 nt
Filed under: Salmonella enterica subsp. enterica serovar Onderstepoort
Lineage: Bacteria; Pseudomonadati; Pseudomonadota; Gammaproteobacteria; Enterobacterales; Enterobacteriaceae
Description: partial 23S ribosomal RNA
Rfam family: Bacterial large subunit ribosomal RNA
Source: RNAcentral